UGUGUUUGUGGAAGAAGGACAAUGCCGACGACCAAGGGUGGUUUAGCAGUUGUAGUGGUGGCGGUGUGGUUGUGAUCAUAAAAGAGGAUGAGGUUGAGGGCGUCAUAGAUUGGAAAUAGAGGAAGAUGGUAUAGGGAUUAUCAAUUGAAGAAGAGAGAGAAAAAAUCUCCAUUUUCUCUGAACAUUACCUUUUGCUUUUGAAAAA
This 205-nucleotide long non-coding RNA is filed under the name Lathyrus oleraceus (garden pea). RNAcentral's name for it is "Pisum sativum (pea) long non-coding RNA (PSAT_LNC002451)". The record is from RNAcentral. Lineage: Eukaryota; Viridiplantae; Streptophyta; Magnoliopsida; Fabales; Fabaceae.